RNAcentral lists this long non-coding RNA (1665 nucleotides) under Octopus vulgaris (common octopus). The record is from RNAcentral. Lineage: Eukaryota; Metazoa; Mollusca; Cephalopoda; Octopoda; Octopodidae.
UCAGUGAUUGCAAAAGCAACAGAAUAGGGGAUUUUUUUUCACGCCCAGAAGUUUUGACAAUUAUGGGUUUAACCCUGUUGAUACCAACCCCACUGAAACCGCUUCUGGCUCUGUAAGUACAGAUGUCUUGUUUCAAAAGUUGUGAAUUAAAAUCUUCCACCAAACCUUAGUCACAAUUUAUGUUCUUAUCACUAGUUUUAUGAUAACUAAGUUAUUUUACUAAAUUCUUCGUUAUAUUUAAAAUUAAUUGAAAGAAACACAGAGCAUCUCAACAGAAGUAUGGUAACAAAAGGGUUAAAUACUUGAGCAUCUAUGGCUUCAUUUGAAGAAACUGAAUAUAAGUAAAUUGAGAGCAUUGUUUCGUUUAUAAUGGACCAAAUAAAUUAAGUUAAUUGGACUGUAAUGCUGAUAUAUAUAUACAAACAUACACACAUACAUACAUAGAUACAUACAUACAUACAUACAUACAUACAUACAUGCAUACAUACAUACAUACAUACAUACAUACAUACAUACAUACAUACAUACAUACAUACAUACACACAUAGACUAUGUCAUGUUUCUGUGAAAGAUAUCACACAUGUGAUUAGCAGCUGUCCUAAAAUGUCGUCACAGUGUUACCGCCCUAUGUGGCAUGGUAUUGUUGCUAAAACAAUUUACAAAGCUAUCCACAAAAACGACUGUCCUGAAAUAAACUUAGAAAAUCCCUCUGUUAUGGAAUACAUUCAUAAACACCAACUCAAGGAAUACUGGUGUAAUAUUGACAUCAAAACUUCUGUCAAAUGUAAGAGGCCAGAUAUUGUUUUUGGCAACUUGUAUCUCCAUGUUAUAUUAUAAAUUUAAUACACCUUGUCCAAUCGUUGCUAAAUUGUUUACUCUUUAUAAGAUAUAAACAUUAAUUACUUAUUCUUUAUUUUACAGCUUUGGUAAUGAGUGGUGAAAAAAAUGCCAUCAGAGACAUUUUAUGCUACCUGAAAAAAGAUAAAAAAGAAAGAAACUGAGUGUAUGGGUAGUAGCAAAAGCAAUUGAUAAUGCUAACGAAUGUGUGACACAAAACUGGUUCAGAUGUUUCAAGGAAGGUGACACCAGCCUCUAAGACAAACAAUGGGGAUGAAAAAUGGACCUAUUUGCAUAAUCCUAAUAAGAGAAAUUAGUGGCUUCAUUCCAGCUAGACUUCAGUAACUGUUGUCAAACAUGGGUGGCUUGAACAGAAGGUCAUCUUAUGUGUUUGUUGGAAUUUUGAGGGGAUAUUGCGCUUUGAACUUGUUCUAGAUGGUCAUGUUGUGAACACUAACCUUUAUACUCAACAACUGCAGUGAGUGUAUGAUGCUGUGAAAGCUAGCAUUGGUUAGUUGAAGAUGCACACUCCUACAGAAUGGCAAUGCUCCAGCACACAGUGCAAUGUGACUAAGUGCAAAUUUGAGGGAGUUGGAAAGCUGGAAGUGCCAUGUCACUCUGCCUACAAUGCAGACUUUUCACCAUCAUAUUACCAUCCUUUUGGAGCCAUGGCUCAUUUCCUACAUGGACAGAGGUUCAACAAUGUGAAUGAGGUUGAAAUUGGAUUCAGGGUGUUUUUUUUCUUCUAAGCCAGUGAAAUGGUACUAGUGUGAAAUUAAGCUUCUGGCACUACAAUGGCAACAGACAAUAAAGUAUGAUAGGAUAUAU